RNAcentral lists this ribosomal RNA (254 nucleotides) under uncultured bacterium. Its description in RNAcentral is "partial 16S ribosomal RNA". It matches the Rfam family "Bacterial small subunit ribosomal RNA", at positions 524 to 776 of the family's 1533-position model. The record is from RNAcentral.
UACGGGGGGAGCAAGCGUUGUUCGGAUUUACUGGGCGUAAAGCGCGUGUAGGCGGCUCGGCAAGUCGGAUGUGAAAGCCCUGGGCUCAACCUAGGAAGUGCAUUCGAAACUGCAGAGCUUGAGUUCUGGAGAGGAAGGCGGAAUUCUCGGUGUAGAGGUGAAAUUCGUAGAUAUCGAGAGGAACACCUGUGGCGAAGGCGGCCUUCUGGAGCAGUGACUGACGCUGAGACGCGAAAGCGUGGGGAGCAAACAGG